Molecule: small RNA, 431 nt
Filed under: Pan troglodytes (chimpanzee)
Lineage: Eukaryota; Metazoa; Chordata; Mammalia; Primates; Hominidae
Description: processed transcript
Source: RNAcentral
GUUCCAGGACUCUGAGGGAGCAGCCCAGCUGGACCGAGGCCGCGUCGUUCCUGGGCUUACUAUUCCCAGACCCGGACUCCCGAUUCCGGAGUCACGGCCCAGGACGCGAAAAGACUCUACACUGGCACCACGCUCCUCCUUAGGCGGGCGGUCAGUCCCGGGUGCGGGCUGCGCUGGAGGCUGAGGUUUUCUGUGAAGACCCUGAUUGAUCGGUCUUGCUUUGAGACAAUUGAUGAUUCUUCUCCUGAAUUUAACAAUUUUGCAGCUAUUUUGGAACAGAUUUUAAGCCACCGGCUAAAAGGUCAAGUAACCUGGUUUGGUUAUGAAAGUCCUCGUAGCUUCUGGGACUAUAUCAGAGUGGCUUGCCGGAAAGUUUCACAGAAUUGUAUCUGCAGCAUUGAAAAUAUGGAAAAUGUCAGUUCUUCUAGAGC